Molecule: non-coding RNA, 699 nt
Organism: Pogona vitticeps (central bearded dragon)
Lineage: Eukaryota; Metazoa; Chordata; Lepidosauria; Squamata; Agamidae
Source: RefSeq, a predicted model, not a curated record
CAAAAGUAGAUAACACCUGUUUAGUCUUCCAGGGCCAUUCGACAAGAGGAAUGACUACAUUUUAAUGAUGAGAACUUCCGACUGAGAGGUGGGCAAACCGACCUGACCUGUCUGGGUCAUCAACUGCUGACAUCUGGCACAUCUAUUUUCAAGAUCAAAGGUCAAAGAUUUCAAGAAGAGCAGAAGAACUCCAUCUCCCUGACACGUUCCUGAGCACCUUCCACAGGAUGAGGACAAGGAAUUGAACUCCAGGAUCCAUGAGAGGGUUGGCCAUGACAGCAGGGUCUCCUGAAUGAAGGGUUCAUGUUCAGAGGCAGUGUGGGAGAGCCUCGAUUCUGUUCUUCUAAGUUUCUUGAUUCUGUUCUUCUAAGAAUCUGUUCUUCUAAGUUUUGUAGAGUCUGUGAAUCCAAAAGUUGACUUCUAAAAUUCAGCUCUAGGAACCCACUGCAUCUUGGUUUUUUUAUCUAUAUACAUGAGAAACCCAACUUGGAUUAAACAUUUGGCCGGUGGCUUUCUCUCUCUCAAGUCCCCUCUCUCCUUGUUGUCUCUCUCCCUACCACAGCUUAUCUCCCUCCCGACUUCCCGUCUUCUUAUGGUGCUUCUUUGCAAAGAAAGGCAGUGGGAAGUAGCUGCAAAUGAUGGAAUUCCUAUUCCUACUCUCUCAUUGCUCAGGCCAUCCCCUCGCCAACAAUGAGAACA